This 574-nucleotide long non-coding RNA is filed under the name Malus domestica (apple). RNAcentral's name for it is "long non-coding RNA (MDOM_LNC002679)". Lineage: Eukaryota; Viridiplantae; Streptophyta; Magnoliopsida; Rosales; Rosaceae. The record is from RNAcentral.
UUAGUUUUUCUCUGCAUCCGUCAUCUUUAGAAUUUGGUCUCAACUCUCAAGGUUUCUACUGGUUAUGGUUUAUAUUGUAUGUUAGGCCUACAAUUUAUUAUAUGCUGAACUUCUGGCCCUUGGUAAAUCACUUGCAGGUCGUCCUAUCAUUGUUGACUAUUCACCGGUGACAGACUUCCGUGAAGCCACCUGCAGGCAAUAUGAGGAGAACACAUGCAACCGUGGUGGAUACUGCAAUUUUAUGCACCUGAAAAGGAUUGGCAGGUAAGUUUUCUUGUUAUUUUUUUUAAUUGCAGAAUGUACUGAUAAGCUAAUAUUAUUUUUACUUUGUUAAAAUGUCAGGGAAUUGAGGCGUGAAUUAUUUGGGAGCUAUAAGAGAAGGCAUAGCCGCAGUCGAAGCAGGAGUCGCAGCCCUUACGGGCAUCGUAGCUAUGAAGAGCGCUCUCACCGUAGCCGGGGUCAUAGCAGAAGGUAUGAUGAUGAGGAUCGCUAUCCUGAAAGCUGGAGCCGGAGGAACAAGACUGUAAGCCCUGGUCGAAGGAAAGGACGCAGUAGAAGUAGAAGCCCUGGAAGA